Molecule: ribosomal RNA, 1284 nt
Filed under: Vibrio cholerae
Lineage: Bacteria; Pseudomonadati; Pseudomonadota; Gammaproteobacteria; Vibrionales; Vibrionaceae
Description: bacterial LSU rRNA
Rfam family: Bacterial large subunit ribosomal RNA
Source: RNAcentral
UAAGGCUGAGACACGACGUCGAGCUGCUACGGCAGUGAAGUCAUUGAUGCCAUGCUUCCAGGAAAAGCCUCUAAGCUUCAGAUAGUCAGGAAUCGUACCCCAAACCGACACAGGUGGUCGGGUAGAGAAUACCAAGGCGCUUGAGAGAACUCGGGUGAAGGAACUAGGCAAAAUGGUACCGUAACUUCGGGAGAAGGUACGCUCUUGAUGGUGAAGUCCCUCGCGGAUGGAGCUGACGAGAGUCGCAGAUACCAGGUGGCUGCAACUGUUUAUUAAAAACACAGCACUGUGCAAAAUCGCAAGAUGACGUAUACGGUGUGACGCCUGCCCGGUGCCGGAAGGUUAAUUGAUGGGGUUAGCGCAAGCGAAGCUCUUGAUCGAAGCCCCGGUAAACGGCGGCCGUAACUAUAACGGUCCUAAGGUAGCGAAAUUCCUUGUCGGGUAAGUUCCGACCUGCACGAAUGGCGUAAUGAUGGCCACGCUGUCUCCACCCGAGACUCAGUGAAAUUGAAAUCGCUGUGAAGAUGCAGUGUACCCGCGGCUAGACGGAAAGACCCCGUGAACCUUUACUACAGCUUGGCACUGAACAUUGAACCUACAUGUGUAGGAUAGGUGGGAGGCUAUGAAGACGUGACGCCAGUUGCGUUGGAGCCGUCCUUGAAAUACCACCCUUGUAUGUUUGAUGUUCUAACUUAGACCCAUUAUCUGGGUUGAGGACAGUGCCUGGUGGGUAGUUUGACUGGGGCGGUCUCCUCCCAAAGAGUAACGGAGGAGCACGAAGGUGGGCUAAUCACGGUUGGACAUCGUGAGGUUAGUGCAAUGGCAUAAGCCCGCUUAACUGCGAGAAUGACGGUUCGAGCAGGUGCGAAAGCAGGUCAUAGUGAUCCGGUGGUUCUGUAUGGAAGGGCCAUCGCUCAACGGAUAAAAGGUACUCCGGGGAUAACAGGCUGAUACCGCCCAAGAGUUCAUAUCGACGGCGGUGUUUGGCACCUCGAUGUCGGCUCAUCACAUCCUGGGGCUGAAGUCGGUCCCAAGGGUAUGGCUGUUCGCCAUUUAAAGUGGUACGCGAGCUGGGUUUAGAACGUCGUGAGACAGUUCGGUCCCUAUCUGCCGUGGGCGUUGGAAGAUUGAAGGGGGCUGCUCCUAGUACGAGAGGACCGGAGUGGACGAACCUCUGGUGUUCGGGUUGUGUCGCCAGACGCAUUGCCCGGUAGCUAAGUUCGGAAUUGAUAAGCGCUGAAAGCAUCUAAGCGCGAAGCGAGCCCUGAGAUGAGUCUUCCCUGA